This 404-nucleotide long non-coding RNA is filed under the name Apteryx rowi (Okarito brown kiwi). RNAcentral's name for it is "lncRNA (ENSARWG00000008090.1)". Lineage: Eukaryota; Metazoa; Chordata; Aves; Apterygiformes; Apterygidae. The record is from RNAcentral.
GUUAACACAUGGCUGCCAGGUUGGAUUGUGCUAAUUUUAUUUGUGCAGUUCAGUCUUCAGUGAUGUAGGGAGGAGUACGAAACAAUACUGAGACCAUAUGUUCCGAUUAACACAACUGAAUUCAAAGCAAUGCUUUUCCCUGCUCAGCUGGAAAACAAGCCCACAGUUUUCAGUGCUGCCAUAUAAGUGUUCAGAAGUAAGAUGACAAAGAAACAUAGAAAGAUCCCUUAAUUCACAUCAAAUAAGAACAGGGGUGCACCAGAUUAUCAGCUUGCAGGCAGAGCAGGAAGUGAGAAUAAGAUACUCUUCCUGUAGUAACUCACAGAGUACAGUUACAACAGCUGAAAAGAAAGGAAAUGAUGAACUACUUUUUUCUCACUAAAAUAUUUCAAGCCUGAAGGAGU